This 312-nucleotide ribosomal RNA is filed under the name Triticum aestivum (bread wheat). RNAcentral's name for it is "partial small subunit ribosomal RNA". Lineage: Eukaryota; Viridiplantae; Streptophyta; Magnoliopsida; Poales; Poaceae. The record is from RNAcentral.
AUGACGUAUUUAGGUCUCCCAAUAACCAUCUCCAGACUACAUAUAGUGCACCUGCAGUUCAUCCUAGAUAGAAUAUGUGCACGCCUCGCGGGCUGGAAAGGCCGGCUUCUGUCAAUCGUCGGCCGGAGGGUUUUGGUCAGAAGCGUUCUGACGGCAUUACCGACGUACGCACUCACCGUUCUCAGGGCGCCAUUAAAAUUCUUCAAAGACAUUGACAAGGUGCGCCGGUGUUUUCUCUGGACGGGGGAUGAGGAGCUGUCCGGUGGGAAAUGCAAAGUGAGCUGGACACAAGUGUGCUCGCCGGUGCAACAU